UACGUAGGGUGCGAGCGUUACUCGGAAUUACUGGGCGUAAAGCGUGCGCAGGCGGUUUUGUAAGCCAGAUGUGAAAUCCCCGGGCUUAACCUGGGAAUGGCAUUUGGGACUGCAAGGCUUGAGUGCGGCAGAGGAGACUGGAAUUCCUGGUGUAGCAGUGAAAUGCGUAGAUAUCAGGAGGAACACCGGUGGUGUAAACGGCUUUCUGGACCAUAACUGACGCUGAGGCACGAAAGCGUGGGUAGCAAACAGG
This 253-nucleotide ribosomal RNA is filed under the name uncultured bacterium. RNAcentral describes it as "partial 16S ribosomal RNA". It matches the Rfam family "Bacterial small subunit ribosomal RNA", at positions 524 to 776 of the family's 1533-position model. The record is from RNAcentral.